RNAcentral lists this ribosomal RNA (254 nucleotides) under uncultured bacterium. Its description in RNAcentral is "partial 16S ribosomal RNA". It matches the Rfam family "Bacterial small subunit ribosomal RNA", at positions 524 to 776 of the family's 1533-position model. The record is from RNAcentral.
UACGGAGGGUGCGAGCGUUGUCCGGAAUCACUGGGCGUAAAGGGCGCGUAGGUGGCACGGGUAGUCGUCGGUGAAAGCUCAGGGCUCAACCCUGAGUCGGCCGGUGAUACUCCCGAGCUCGAGUUGUGGUAGAGGCCAAUGGAAUUCCGGGUGUAGCGGUGGAAUGCGUAGAGAUCCGGAAGAACACCGGUGGCGAAGGCGGUUGGCUGGGCCACAACUGACACUGAUGCGCGACAGCGUGGGGAGCAAACAGG